UAGCUGAGGACAGAAAUCAGGUUGCUGC
Molecule: non-coding RNA, 28 nt
Filed under: Homo sapiens (human)
Lineage: Eukaryota; Metazoa; Chordata; Mammalia; Primates; Hominidae
Source: RNAcentral